RNAcentral lists this ribosomal RNA (749 nucleotides) under uncultured Capnocytophaga sp. Its description in RNAcentral is "bacterial SSU rRNA". It matches the Rfam family "Bacterial small subunit ribosomal RNA", at positions 28 to 776 of the family's 1533-position model. The record is from RNAcentral. Lineage: Bacteria; Pseudomonadati; Bacteroidota; Flavobacteriia; Flavobacteriales; Flavobacteriaceae.
GAUGAACGCUAGCGGCAGGCCUAACACAUGCAAGUCGAGGGAGAGGUUAUCUUCGGGUAACCAAAACCGGCGCACGGGCGCGUAACGCGUAUACAAUCUGCCUUUCACAUAGGGAUAGCCCGAAGAAAUUUGGAUUAAUACCUAAUGGUAUAUAAGAGCGGCAUCGUUUUUAUAUUAAAGCUACGGUGGUGAAAGAUGAGUAUGCGUUCUAUUAGCUAGUUGGAGAGGUAACGGCUCCCCAAGGCGACGAUAGAUAGGGGUUCUGAGAGGGAUGUCCCCCACACUGGUACUGAGAUACGGACCAGACUCCUACGGGAGGCAGCAGUGAGGAAUAUUGGACAAUGGUCGGAAGACUGAUCCAGCCAUGCCGCGUGCAGGAUGAAGGUCCUAUGGAUUGUAAACUGCUUUUGUAAGGGAAGAAUAAGGAGUACGUGUACUUUGAUGACGGUACCUUACGAAUAAGCAUCGGCUAACUCCGUGCCAGCAGCCGCGGUAAUACGGAGGAUGCGAGCGUUAUCCGGAAUCAUUGGGUUUAAAGGGUCCGUAGGCGGGCUGAUAAGUCAGAGGUGAAAGCGCUUAGCUCAACUAAGCAACUGCCUUUGAAACUGUCAGUCUUGAAUGAUUGUGAAGUAGUUGGAAUGUGUAGUGUAGCGGUGAAAUGCUUAGAUAUUACACAGAACACCGAUAGCGAAGGCAUAUUACUAACAAUUUAUUGACGCUGAUGGACGAAAGCGUGGGGAGCGAACAGG